This 429-nucleotide ribosomal RNA is filed under the name bacterium. RNAcentral describes it as "partial 16S ribosomal RNA". It matches the Rfam family "Bacterial small subunit ribosomal RNA", at positions 355 to 776 of the family's 1533-position model. The record is from RNAcentral.
UAGGGAAUCUUCGGCAAUGGGGGCAACCCUGACCGAGCAACGCCGCGUGAGUGAAGAAGGUUUUCGGAUCGUAAAGCUCUGUUGUAAGAGAAGAACGUGUGUGAGAGUGGAAAGUUCACACAGUGACGGUAACUUACCAGAAAGGGACGGCUAACUACGUGCCAGCAGCCGCGGUAAUACGUAGGUCCCGAGCGUUGUCCGGAUUUAUUGGGCGUAAAGCGAGCGCAGGCGGUUUAAUAAUUCUGAAGUUAAAGGCAGUGGCUUAACCAUUGUUCGCUUUGGAAACUGUUAAACUUGAGUGCAGAAGGGGAGAGUGGAAUUCCAUGUGUAGCGGUGAAAUGCGUAGAUAUAUGGAGGAACACCGGUGGCGAAAGCGGCUCUCUGGUCUGUAACUGACGCUGAGGCUCGAAAGCGUGGGGAGCAAACAGG